AUCGUUCAUCUUUCCCCGCUAACACCACAGCUCGCAGGUCACCCUUGCAGCCGUUAGUUAGAAAGAAAGACGGAAGUAGGGAUUCUAGGUCAAUGUCGAUUUUGGGUUAAGUCCUAACCACCGAUCCACAACCCGCAAAUCCCGAAGGAACGCGCC
Molecule: non-coding RNA, 156 nt
Filed under: Limnothrix sp. P13C2
Lineage: Bacteria; Bacillati; Cyanobacteriota; Cyanophyceae; Pseudanabaenales; Pseudanabaenaceae
Also listed under: 1 other name
Description: Glutamine riboswitch aptamer (glnA leader)
Rfam family: Glutamine riboswitch aptamer (glnA leader)
Source: Rfam by way of RNAcentral